GAUGAACGCUGGCGGUAUGCUUAACACAUGCAAGUCGAACGGUCACUUCGGUGAUAGUGGCGGACGGGUGAGUAACGCGUGAGAAUCUGUCUUCAGGUCGGGGACAACAGUUAGAAAUGACUGCUAAUACCGGAUGUGCCUUUGGGUGAAAGAUUUAUUGCCUGAAAAAGAGCUCGCGUCAGAUUAGCUAGUAGGUGGUGUAAGAGACUACCUAGGCUCCGAUCUGUAGCUGGUCUGAGAGGACGAUCAGCCACACUGGAACUGAGACACGGUCCAGACUCCUACGGGAAGCAGCAGUGGGGAAUUUUCCGCAAUGGGCGAAAGCCUGACGGAGCAAUACCGCGUGAGGGACGAAGGCUUUUGGGUCGUAAACCUCUUUUCUCAAGGAAGAUGAUGACGGUACUUGAGGAAUAAGCAGCGGCUAACUCUGUG
This 432-nucleotide ribosomal RNA is filed under the name uncultured bacterium. RNAcentral's name for it is "partial 16S ribosomal RNA". It matches the Rfam family "Bacterial small subunit ribosomal RNA", at positions 28 to 507 of the family's 1533-position model. The record is from RNAcentral.